AAAAAGUAGCCAGCCCACCAUCCCUAGAUGAUUUUGCAGUCUUUGCACACCAGUGUGGCCAUAGGCUUGUUUUCUCCUGGACUGAGCCUGCAGAUCCUAUGAGCAGGCAUAUGUCCUGUGCUCCACUAGUCCUAGCUGGAUCGUGGACAUAUUACCAUCAUUACAAAUAUCAAUAGUUUGUGAUUACUUCAAACAAUCUGAAGUUGAAGGACCCCAGAUAUCCUUCAAAACAGGAAUCUGCAGGCAGAUGCUGAAACCAUGAAUACAGAGGGACAACUAUGUAAGCUCGUUGACGCUGACAUAGUUUUAUGAAUGCAAACAGCCAAGGAGAGCAGAUGUUGAGUGGUUGCCAGAGUGAAAUGAGGAAGCCCUGCUGCCAGCUUCCCACCAAAAAGCAGGCUCCGGCCCUGAACGCAGGAGAGUUGCUAAAGAAGUUGCUCACAGAGGCGGGAGAGAGCAGGCUACUGGUUUCCUUCAAAAUGGAAUAGGAAACAGAAAACGUGGUGAGCAUCAUUUCUUCGCACUUGAAUCAGCAACAUGACACAGGACUUUGGCAUCAGACUACUAUCACACCAAAAAAAGAGGCUUCACUUGGAGUGCUGCCACUGGAUGGGGCCUGACUUGUUUAUCCGGAAAGAAGUGACUUCCCUGGGAAGAAGGUUGCAUUUGUGAAAGCUUGUGCAGCAUUUCAAGGCUGCAUUCAGGGGCUCUGACCUCCAGUGUCAGCCUUCCAAGGAGAGAAUGGUAGUGUAAUCAUGACUGGAGAGCAACUGUUCCAGAUAAGAAUAUUUUGGCAGAUUUUAAAAGCAACUA
Molecule: long non-coding RNA, 813 nt
Filed under: Homo sapiens (human)
Lineage: Eukaryota; Metazoa; Chordata; Mammalia; Primates; Hominidae
Description: long non-coding RNA NONHSAT171553.1
Source: RNAcentral